UGGGGAAUAUUGCACAAUGGGCGCAAGCCUGAUGCAGCCAUGCCGCGUGUAUGAAGAAGGCCUUCGGGUUGUAAAGCUCUUUUAGUGAGGAAGAUAAUGACGGUACUCACAGAAGAAGUCCUGGCUAACUCCGUGCCAGCAGCCGCGGUAAUACGGAGAGGGCUAGCGUUAUUCGGAAUUAUUGGGCGUAAAGGGCGCGUAGGCUGGUUAAUAAGUUAAAAGUGAAAUCCCGAGGCUUAACCUUGGAAUUGCUUUUAAAACUAUUAAUCUAGAGAUUGAAAGAGGAUAGAGGAAUUCCUGAUGUAGAGGUAAAAUUCGUAAAUAUUAGGAGGAACACCAGUGGCGAAGGCGUCUAUCUGGUUCAAAUCUGACGCUGAAGCGCGAAGGCGUGGGGAGCAAACA
Molecule: ribosomal RNA, 402 nt
Filed under: uncultured bacterium
Lineage: Bacteria
Description: partial 16S ribosomal RNA
Rfam family: Bacterial small subunit ribosomal RNA
Source: RNAcentral